UGGGGAAUUUUGGACAAUGGGCGAAAGCCUGAUCCAGCAAUGCCGCGUGUGUGAAGAAGGCCUUCGGGUUGUAAAGCACUUUUGUCCGGAAAGAAAUCCUUGGCUCUAAUACAGUCGGGGGAUGACGGUACCGGAAGAAUAAGCACCGGCUAACUACGUGCCAGCAGCCGCGGUAAUACGUAGGGUGCAAGCGUUAAUCGGAAUUACUGGGCGUAAAGCGUGCGCAGGCGGUUUGCUAAGACCGAUGUGAAAUCCCCGGGCUCAACCUGGGAACUGCAUUGGUGACUGGCAGGCUAGAGUAUGGCAGAGGGGGGUAGAAUUCCACGUGUAGCAGUGAAAUGCGUAGAGGUGUGGAGGAAUACCGAUGGCGAAGGCAGCCCCCUGGGCCAAUACUGACGCUCAUGCACGAAAAGCGUGGGGGAGCAAAACAGGAUUAGAUACCCUGGUAGUCCACGCCCUAAACGAUGUCAACUAGUUGUUGGGGAUUCAUUUCCUUAGUAACGUAGCUAACGCGUGAAGUUGACCGCCUGGGGAGUACGGUCGCAAGAUUAAAACUCAAAGGAAUUGACGGGGUCAUAGCUGUUUCCU
Molecule: ribosomal RNA, 588 nt
Filed under: uncultured bacterium
Lineage: Bacteria
Description: partial 16S ribosomal RNA
Rfam family: Bacterial small subunit ribosomal RNA
Source: RNAcentral